This 255-nucleotide ribosomal RNA is filed under the name uncultured bacterium. RNAcentral describes it as "partial 16S ribosomal RNA". It matches the Rfam family "Bacterial small subunit ribosomal RNA", at positions 524 to 776 of the family's 1533-position model. The record is from RNAcentral.
UACGUAGGGUGCAAGCGUUGUCCGGAAUUAUUGGGCGUAAAGAGCUCGUAGGCGGUUUGUCGCGUCUGCUGUGAAAACCCGAGGCUCAACCUCGGGCCUGCAGUGGGUACGGGCAGACUAGAGUGCUGUAGGGGAGACUGGAAUUCCUGGUGUAGCGGUGAAAUGCGCAGAUAUCAGGAGGAACACCGAUGGCGAAGGCAGGUCUCUGGGCAUUAACUGACGCUGGAGGAGCGAAAAGCAUGGGGAGCGAACAGG